This 450-nucleotide ribosomal RNA is filed under the name uncultured bacterium. RNAcentral's name for it is "partial 16S ribosomal RNA". It matches the Rfam family "Bacterial small subunit ribosomal RNA", at positions 354 to 796 of the family's 1533-position model. The record is from RNAcentral.
GUGGGGAAUAUUGCACAAUGGGCGCAAGCCUGAUGCAGCCAUGCCGCGUGUAUGAAGAAGGCCUUCGGGUUGUAAAGUACUUUCAGCGGGGAGGAAGGUGUUGUGGUUAAUAACCGCAGCAAUUGACGUUACCCGCAGAAGAAGCACCGGCUAACUCCGUGCCAGCAGCCGCGGUAAUACGGAGGGUGCAAGCGUUAAUCGGAAUUACUGGGCGUAAAGCGCACGCAGGCGGUCUGUCAAGUCGGAUGUGAAAUCCCCGGGCUCAACCUGGGAACUGCAUUCGAAACUGGCAGGCUGGAGUCUUGUAGAGGGGGGUAGAAUUCCAGGUGUAGCGGUGAAAUGCGUAGAGAUCUGGAGGAAUACCGGUGGCGAAGGCGGCCCCCUGGACAGGUACUGACGCUGAGGCGCGAAAGCGUGGGGAGCAAACAGGAUUAGAAACCCCAGUAGUCC